Molecule: ribosomal RNA, 353 nt
Filed under: Salmonella enterica subsp. enterica serovar Newport
Lineage: Bacteria; Pseudomonadati; Pseudomonadota; Gammaproteobacteria; Enterobacterales; Enterobacteriaceae
Also listed under: 1 other name
Description: bacterial LSU rRNA
Rfam family: Bacterial large subunit ribosomal RNA
Source: RNAcentral
AUGAUGGCCAGGCUGUCUCCACCCGAGACUCAGUGAAAUUGAACUCGCUGUGAAGAUGCAGUGUACCCGCGGCAAGACGGAAAGACCCCGUGAACCUUUACUAUAGCUUGACACUGAACAUUGAGCCUUGAUGUGUAGGAUAGGUGGGAGGCUUUGAAGCGUGGACGCCAGUCUGCGUGGAGCCGACCUUGAAAUACCACCCUUUAAUGUUUGAUGUUCUAACGUGGACCCGUGAUCCGGGUUGCGGACAGUGUCUGGUGGGUAGUUUGACUGGGGCGGUCUCCUCCUAAAGAGUAACGGAGGAGCACGAAGGUUGGCUAAUCCUGGUCGGACAUCAGGAGGUUAGUGCAAUG